CUCACUUGCCGUCCUCCCUCUCUUUUUCUUUUGUGAGAGCAAAAAUGCAUUUCAGUUUUGAGUUUGCUCUGCUCUGAGAGAGAGAGGGCACUUCCUUGUUGUUUGUAUACACUGUCGAGUCAAAUUGCCUAACUUCUGAAUGUCUACAUGACCAUUCUUUGCUUCUGUCAAUGAAAAUCAGUGUUAGCAAUGUUCAGUUUUACCAAUGUGUUCUGAAAAUAAAAAUCCAUCUAGUGAGCACAUUUGCUAGGAGUACAAUGUUACACAUGCCAAUGUUCAAUUUUGAGAGGGAAUACUCCAUUUGGUGAGCACAUUUGCUGGCUUGCAACAAGAGGAUUAGCAGUAGUUCAGAUUCUCAGUAUCUUCUCUGUAGGAGUAGUUUCAGUUAAUUAACUGAAACUUUCUACUCCUCUUCUGCAGGAGCAUCUUCUUCCUCUCUUCUCUCUUCUUAUCUCUUCUGUCUCUCUUCUUAUCUCUCCUCUCUUCUCUUAUCUUAUCCUCUCCUCUUCUCUUAUCUUAAGUCCCUACUGCUUACUCACUCUGUCAUUUUCCAGUAAGUCCCUGCUCAUUUUCUUAGCUUUAUUUUGUACCUGUAGGUUCUAUCUCACAUCUCUGAGCCAAAGUUUCUCACAUGCUUGUUUAUUCAAUAUUUUUCUGACAUACGCGUAAUACAGAUGGCGUGCCCAAAGUGAAGUCUGACCGCACUCUCCUUAAGGCAAGGGAUUUGGGUUUUGGCUAUCCGGAGACUUUGAAAGAUCAGAGAUUCUCUUGAUUGGAGUGGAGAGGAGCAGAGACGAGAGGAGCAGCAGAAGUGGACAGCGCAGCGGCUGACCUCGAGCUCUUGAUUGCAGUGGGGGGAGGCGGCCGGCGAAGGAUCUGUGGCCAGCAGCGAAGGAUCCAAAGCUGUGGCGGAGCAGGCAGCCGGCGGGAAGGGCGGCUGGCGAGGGAGCUGCGGACCGCGGCGGGGAAGGGCGACCGAUGAGGGAGCUGCGGACCACGGCGGGGGGAGCUGCGGACCGCGGCGGGGAAGGGCGACCGAUGAGGGAGCUGCGGACCACGGCAGGGAAGGGCGGCCGGCCGGCAAGGGAGCUGCGGACCACGGCGGGGAAGGGCGGCCGGCCGGCAAGGGAGCUGCGGACAACGGCGGGGAAGGGCGGCCGGCCGGCAAGGGAGCUGCGGACCGCGGCAGGGAAGGAGCCCAGCGAGGGAGCAGCGACGGCGGAGAAGCCUGGCGGAGGGGAGGAGCGACGGAGGAAGACGCCUCCCGGUCAAUUUCAAAUCAGGGGUAGUAUUGUACUUUCACACUGUAGUACUAAAACAAUGGUGUCAAGCUAUUGGGCCACACCAUUAGCCUUAUUGUAACAAUAUUUAAACAGCACCUUCCUGAUCAUAGUAGAUUGCUUCUGCUAAAA
Long non-coding RNA from Aegilops tauschii subsp. strangulata, 1412 nucleotides. RefSeq lists it as uncharacterized. The record is from RefSeq and is a predicted model, not a curated record. NCBI's taxonomy places the organism in Eukaryota, Viridiplantae, Streptophyta, Magnoliopsida, Poales, Poaceae.